GAUGAACGCUGACAGAAUGCUUAACACAUGCAAGUCUUUGGCGAAUCUGUGCUUGCACAGGCUAGCCAAGGCGGACGGGUGAGUAACGCGUAAGGAACUUGCCCUGCAGACAGGGAUAACAGACGGAAACGACUGAUAACACCUGAUACAGUUGCCGGCACGCAUGUGCCUGGCAAUGAAAAGAGAUGCUGCAGGAGAGCUUUGCGUCCUAUUAGCUUGUUGGUGAGGUGACGGCUCACCAAGGCGAUGAUAGGUAGCCGGCCUGAGAGGGUGAACGGCCACAAGGGGACUGAGAUACGGCCCUUACUCCUACGGGAGGCAGCAGUGGGGAAUAUUGGACAAUGGGGGCAACCCUGAUCCAGCAAUUCUGUGUGCACGAAGAAGGUUUUCGGAUUGUAAAGUGCUUUCAGCAGGGAAGAAGAAAGUGACGGUACCUGCAGAAGAAGCGACGGCUAAAUACGUG
This 463-nucleotide ribosomal RNA is filed under the name uncultured bacterium. RNAcentral describes it as "partial 16S ribosomal RNA". It matches the Rfam family "Bacterial small subunit ribosomal RNA", at positions 28 to 507 of the family's 1533-position model. The record is from RNAcentral.